RNAcentral lists this small RNA (103 nucleotides) under Salmonella enterica subsp. enterica serovar Moscow str. SA20061414. Its description in RNAcentral is "RtT RNA". It matches the Rfam family "RtT RNA", at positions 18 to 118 of the family's 130-position model. Rfam says of the family: This family represents a bacterial cis-regulatory element known as RtT RNA. The exact function of RtT is unknown although it is thought that it may be involved in changing the cellular response in relation to amino acid starvation. Lineage: Bacteria; Pseudomonadati; Pseudomonadota; Gammaproteobacteria; Enterobacterales; Enterobacteriaceae. The record is from RNAcentral.
AAGGGUGAGAACCCUCGAUUAAGGUUCGACUCGAGCGAAAGCGAGAGAACGUUGCCAACGGCAACGGCCCGUAGGGUGAGGAGCGAAGCGACGAAUAAUCCUU